UACGUAGGGGGCAAGCGUUGUCCGGAAUUAUUGGGCGUAAAGCGCGCGCAGGCGGUUCUUUAAGUCUGGUGUUUAAGCUCAAGGCUCAACCUUGGGACGCACGGGAAACUGGGGAACUGGAGUGCAGGAGAGGAAAGUGGAAUUCCACGUGUAGCGGUGAAAUGCGUAGAUAUGUGGAGGAACACCAGUGGCGAAGGCGACUUUCUGGCCUGUAACUGACGCUGAGGCGCGAAAGCGUGGGGAGCAAACAGG
This 252-nucleotide ribosomal RNA is filed under the name uncultured bacterium. RNAcentral's name for it is "partial 16S ribosomal RNA". It matches the Rfam family "Bacterial small subunit ribosomal RNA", at positions 524 to 776 of the family's 1533-position model. The record is from RNAcentral.